RNAcentral lists this long non-coding RNA (5050 nucleotides) under Ornithorhynchus anatinus (platypus). RNAcentral's name for it is "lncRNA (ENSOANG00000047011.1)". Lineage: Eukaryota; Metazoa; Chordata; Mammalia; Monotremata; Ornithorhynchidae. The record is from RNAcentral.
GCGGUCCUGGGCCGUGAGGCCCCGGGGGCCUGGCGGGAAGAUGACGGGCGGGAGACGCUCUGCGCCGGCGCAGUGCCGUUCGGGCCGGCCCUGGCCCGUGACGACCCGGACCCCGGCGGAGGGAGACGGGCAGGGGGCGCGCAGGGACUCUGUGGGGGCUGGGCCUGGGCCCCUCGGGGAGAUGGCCCUGGGGCUGUGAGGCCCCGGGGUCUGGCGGAGGGAGGCGGGCCGGGCGCCUCCGGUCUUGGCCCGUGAGGGCUGCCCGGUCCGGUCCUGUCUUGUCCUGUCUCUCCUGUCCUGUGAGGACUGCCCUGUCUGUCCUGUCCUGCCCUGCCCUGCCCUGCCCUGUGAGGACUGUCCGGUCCUGUCCUGACAGGGCUGCCCUGGCUGUCCUGUCCUGUCCUGUGAGGGCGGUCCGGUCCGGGCUUGUCUUGCCCUUCGAGGAAGGGAGAAGGAAGAGGGAACGAAAGAGGCCCCAGAGAAAAAAGUACAUUUAACAGGAUCCAUCAGAGGACUCACAAACCUCCCAUGACCAGCUGAAGGACUCAAGAGGUGUGGCCGACAAUUCUUAGUCCCACAGUUUUGUGCCAGCGGAGCUCCAGCGGAGUCUGAGCUCCAGUGAAGGGAGUAAGUAAACUGCGUCUUCCUGUGCGGCCUCUGUGUUUCCGCCACUGAUGUCAGAUAAAUAGUUAUUAGACUUAUUUGAGUUGAACAUGUUGUUGCUACAGAUUAAUCCUGAAUGUGUGUCAUGUUCUCAGAGUGGGUGUCUAAUUUGGAUAGGGAGCCCACUGGGCUUGGAUUGGGUCUAAUUAAUGGACUGUACAGUUAUUGCUUCUCAAGCAGAGGAUUAACUAGGACAAAGCUGGUUUUAAAUACAUUUUCAAAGGCAAGUAUAAAAACUGCCAUUUUUUAGGACGAUGUCUUUCUCCAUUAAACUAAUGAUCGGGUGAAUCAUUGGAUUUGCGAUUUUUUUUUCCUGUUGCGAUUCUAUUGCCUUUAAUGUGGAAUUAAAAUGGAUUAGAAUGUGUGGGAUAGAUGAAUAAUGACCAAAACAUGCUAGUAAUUAGAGUGGGCAAAACUAUGUCUUGUAUACUGUAGUCGAAAGGUUAAGGUAUGGACAACAUUUCAUUAAGAACAAUAUAGUUCAUUAUGACUGGCCACUGAAUGUUACGAAGAAUGAAUGUUUCAUUUAUAUUGCACAGAAGGAACACUUGUAGUGUAGGAAGGGGUGAGAUAAUCAUUUAAUAACGAGAAAAGUAGUAAACACAGUUCCCUGAAAACUAUCAUUCAGCCUCAGCCCUGUUUGUGUAGUUCUUAUCUGCUUUUGCAAAGUUCACUGCGGCCUUUCUCUGCUCAAUACAAACCUCAAACAGUUCCAUCUGGAAAAAUUGCUUUCUUCCAGAAGCAUGAUUUUCUUAUUUUAUAUUGGUAAUCCGUUUGUAUUUCUGAGGGAAAAAAAUGGAAGUGAAAGAAAUGGGGACAUGGAAGUGGGGAGGCUCGUGUUCAGUUGCAGAGUCGUCUGUGCUCGUCAGUGAAGGGAUGUUGCCCUACUCUGUGUGACAGACCAGUUACUAAUUAAUUAUUCACCUUAAAUUGUUUAAUUGUUGGCCUUCUGCUCAUGCUCUCCCCUUCUCUCCCAUCCGCUAUUCAAUCUGUGCACCUUUCUCUUGUUCGAAAGUAAUAAUUUUGGUCACUAUGAGACCCACGUGAGAGGGGCUGCAAAAUCGAUCAAUCAGUGGUGCUUUUUGAGUGCUGACUGUGUGCAGAGCGUUAUAAUAAGUGCUUGGGAGAGUACGAUAAAGUGAGUAGGCUCCAUUCCUUCCCUCAAGGAGCUUACAAUCUAGUGUAGGCUAAUUGACCGAAAGUCCCCACAGGUUUGGGAAGAUCUGCUUAAUUUAAACUUUUCCGCUCAUUGAAGGUGCUGGAAUGGCUCUCUCAAAUCGUGAGUUGAACUGACUUUGCCUGUUAUUUCUCUAGUGUUUGAAAUUGGACUUUUAAUAUUUUCUUGGUAAGAAACAAUUUAGUUGGCUCUCAGGAGUGCAGUUGGUUUCUACUGUAAAAUUUACUGUUUAUCUGCCAGUGGGUUAGGUUUUUGUGUUGUUGUUUUUUAGCACAAGGAGCAUUGCAAUUUGAAAUCCCAAACCUAAACUUUAGUUAUUAGUUUCAUUGUAACCCUCAGUCAAACCUUUCCUUAGCACUGUUAACAAGAUAUUUGCAACUCCCACUGAGGGUGUCAUAGGGUGGCACCCCAGGCCAUUGGGUUUGGCAAUCCAAAAUAAAUAACUGUGGUAUUUGUUAGGCAUUUACUAUAUGCCAACCACUGUACUAAGCAGUGGAGUAGAUACAAUAUAAGCAGGUCAAAUGCAGUCUCUGUCUCUCAGGGGGCUCAAAGUCUAAGGGGAAGGGAGACCAAGUAUCGAAUCUCCAUUUUACAGAUGAGGAACCCGAGGCACAGAGAUGUGAAGUGACUUGCUCAAGAUCAUGCAGCACACCAGUGGUGGAGCUGGGAUUAGAAGCCAGGUCCUCUGACUCCCAGAGCUCCUUAUUUGGACUUUAAAAUUUUGGACUUUUGUUUUUUCUCUGUGAGUAUUUUCUCUUUGAAUGUGUCUCUCAUUUAUCCUCCUUUAUUGUAGAUAGUGAGCUCCUUGAAGUCAGGUGGGCAUGGUGACUGAUUUUUUUCACUAUAUUUCCUCUGAUGACUCACAUUGGGCUUGAUAUAUUUUAGUGUACACUAUCAUUAUCACCACCACAAUUAGUAACAGUUGAGUGGCCGAAAUGGCUGAAGGGAGGAAAAUUAAUGAUCCUGAAAAAUCAAGUCCUAGACUUUCAUCUCCCUCUUUGGUAUUUAUUAGGUGCCUAAUAUGCUAGGGGCAUACUCGGGGGAAUUAGAAGGAAAAUACAUGGGCACUGCCCUCAGAUCUCCAUUCUAAAUGGAUUGAUUGUGAAUGAGAAGUUUUCUACUUCAUCAGAAUAAUGGACUAAAACCACUUCUUGUUUGGACUUCUCUCAGGGUGUGUCACAGUGGAAAUCUUGGGGCCAACUGACUUCCAGUUUGUAAGUUAGCUGCUUAGGGAGGCACAUCCUCUGGUCCCUGCAGCAGUAAUACACUAACUGAUAUUCCAGGGGAGGUGGGGGAAAGGUACCUCCACUGGGAAAAUCUGGCUUGCCAUUCAUUUCAGGUGGGAUGUAUAGACAGAGAAAAAUCAAAAGCAAGAGUUCAUUUUCAUCCUGCCGCUUGAGUCAUCAUUUCAGUCUCUCAUGGAGUUUCCAAUCAAUCUGACUCACACAUAAAAAAGCUAUCCAGGAAACCCACUGAAAGGAUAGCUCCCCAGCUUCUCCACUGCUUCAAUCACUCUGUGGCGAUAAUUCACCUGCAGGCCCCUAGAUAACCAUUUCACACCCUGCACCGAUAAGGCAUUAAACCAUGGAACUACAACAGAGAAUGUUGUCGUGCCCAAUUCCAGGCGAAUGGGGCAGAAUGGGCUCCAGUGGGAAGCUGUAGUCACGCUGCACCUCCCGCCACUUCCCCUUUGGAUCUGGAUCACCGAGUUGGCAGCUCUGAAGAAUUCUGCUACCGUGGCAGACUUAAACCCGGGGGGGGGGGCCUUGCUUCCUGCAUAGGAAGGAGGCAGUGAGUGGAAAAUGUCCAGACCACCAGGGAGGGUCUUAGAAGCAGCUGUCCUAGAUUGGAAAUGGCACUGCCACCCAGGAAAUGGGCACUGGGGCUCCUGGGGUUCUUGGAGACUGAUGUGUUAGAAUGACAUCAUAUCUCAUCUUUUGCCUGGUGUCCUGAGGUCGAUCACCCCCUGCCUUAUAUGGUUCUCUAAUGUCAGAAGAAUGAGGCAGACAGCAGUCCAUCAGUGGUAUUUAUUGAGUGCUUACUGUGUGCAGAGCACUUUACUAAGCACUUGAGAGAGUACUGUCAUAUUAAUAGACACUAUCCCUGACCUCAAAGAUCUUAUAUUCGUGUUUGUGUGUGUGUGUGUUUAUGUGGGAGAGAGGUGGUGGAGGUGAGAGUAAACAUGAAAAUUAAUUAUAGGUAGGUGAAGCAACCAGUAUGAAGAUAUAUCUGUACGUGCUGGUUGAGUAUGGAUGUGUGUGUUUGGUUCCGGGACCGGGGAGGUUGAUUAGCUAAGUGCUUAGGGGAUGAGGGUUCAAAUGCACGGGUGACACAGUAAGGAAGGUAAGAGUGGGGAGAUGAAAGGUUAGUUAGGGAAGGCUUCCUGGAAGAGCGUUUCCAACACUGUGGGAAGAGAGGCAGCAAGAAGUGGCCACUGGCCCCACCGAGGGACCAGAUUUCUCCUGCCAAGCGCCUUUCCCUUAGAGAUGCUCUGCUCAGUGAGAGGGGGAGUCGGAGCCUGCUGAUUCUCACCUCUCUGGUCAGUACAGCAGCCAAGGAGAGUACAGAAUAGAGCUGUAUCCCAGUUAGCGCUCUCAUUUUUCUCUGAAAAUAGUGUCGAAAUAAGUAAGAGCGCUAAACAGAGUGUAAAUCUUCUAAAGUGUACUAUGUACCGGGCACGUAGUCAACGCUAAGCAAAUACCAUUAAAUGUUCCUGAGGUCCAGAAUAUUGACUAAAUCAGUGUAAAAAAAAUUAAUAGCGAUAACACAAAAUGAUUACAUGACCAAAUAGCAAUGUAUAUUUGCAUUUGAUUUUUUUUUUAACUAUACCCAUAUGUAAAUACUUUUUUUAAAGUGUUAUCAUCCACAUCCUAGUCAGUCUGAAUAUACUAGAAAUCUGGCAUUAGCUUUGCUAAAUAGCCCUGUCAUUAUGUAAUGGUAAAUUGAAAUGGGCUUUAAUCAUCCUAUAUAAGUCCGUCAAAAUACCUCAAAGGGGAAGAGAAAGGAGAAAGGGGGUGUUUAGGCCAUGGUGGACUUGGCAGCAUUAUCUCAAAGAGCCAGGGUACUGUGAGAAAUAGUAGCAUAAAAAUCCAGAAAUGUCAUCAGCGAAGAGCAAUAAAAGCCUUGGGUUAUCAUGGGGAAGUCCCCGUAAGAGAAGCAAAGAGUUCUUUUCUCCAGAUGCCUAGUAACGUUCCAGCUGAUUGAGUGCCU